Molecule: transfer RNA, 71 nt
Organism: Camelus ferus (Wild Bactrian camel)
Lineage: Eukaryota; Metazoa; Chordata; Mammalia; Artiodactyla; Camelidae
Rfam family: tRNA
About the family: Transfer RNA (tRNA) molecules are approximately 80 nucleotides in length.
Source: Rfam
GGGGUACAGCUCAGUGGUAGAGCACGUGCUUAGCAUGCACAAGGUCCUGGGUUCAGUCCCCAGUAUUGCCA